RNAcentral lists this long non-coding RNA (1842 nucleotides) under Vigna radiata. RNAcentral's name for it is "long non-coding RNA (VRAD_LNC008441)". Lineage: Eukaryota; Viridiplantae; Streptophyta; Magnoliopsida; Fabales; Fabaceae. The record is from RNAcentral.
GGGUAUAUAUAGGUGAGGAGCGCAUCAGAAAACAGGCCCAAGUCCAACGAGCCACCGCCGGGCGGUUUAAGUGUGCCGCCCGGCGGUUUGCCACAAAUCGCACUACCGCCUGGCGGUAGGGGUCUACCGCCCGGCGGUUUCCCUCAAAUCGCAAAUCUGCCCAGCGCCAACGCCAGGUGCCUACUCCUCGCCCUGGAUCGCCCGGCGGUUUAAGUGUGCCGCCCAGCGGUGCGUCGACUCUUCAAAUCUUCAUUUUUCUGCUCUUUUCUUGAGUCAACGACCUGUAUCUUAAACUCCAUUCUUUACUUUUCUCAAAUUAGCUACAAAACAAUGCAAAACAAGCAUAAAAUCGCUAAAAACAACUUUUGACUCUCUCCAAACUCAUUUAUUGACUUUUGCUUGAGUCUAAGCUCAUUCCGAGUAGUAAAGGGUGUAAUUUGGUCCAAAUUGACAUUUGAAAAUUUGGUCCAAAUUUCUGAAAAAUCUCUUCAGAUUCUGUGCUCCUUUGUAUUGGCAUAAACUGAGGUUGUUCUGAACUUUCUGGGGCUGUUAUCAUCUCCUGUGAUAAAACAGACAAUUUCUGAAUAAUUGUCUCUAGCUGCUGGGCCAUUAUCAUAGUCUGCUUAAUCAUAGAAUUAUUUUCCUGAAUAUGCGCAACACUUUCAAUUUGUGUUUCUUCAUUGUCUGCCAUACUUUCAAUUAAUUCAUAAGCCUCAUCCUUAGUCUUUUUUUUUUAUAUCCCCUCUAGUUGCGACAUUUAACAUCAUUUUUGAGUGCAUGUUUACUCCUCCAAGGAAUGUAAGAACUAUGGUUGUCUUAUCAAACCCAUGGAUUGGGGUCUUCUUCAAUAGGCUCUUAAACCUCUCCCAUGCUUGCCCGAGGGUUUCUUUCAUGCCUUGCCUGAAUGAUGAAAUUUCCAGCCUUCCCUGUGUAACUUUGGAUUGCAGAAAAAUAUUUCUUGACAAAUUUUUCAGCCACAGUCACCCAGGUAGUGAAUGUUCCUACAGGAAAAGAAUUGAGCCAAGUCUUACGUUGCCUCCAAGUGAGAAUGGAAACAAACUAAGCUUUACUCUUUCAUCCGAAACACUUGACAUCUUCACUGUGUUGCAGAUUUCACCAAACGUUGUCAAAUGAUCAUAUGGGUUUUCAUUUGACAAGCCGUGAAAUUGGUUGCUUUGUACUAGGUGUAUAAGAGCUGGAUUCAUCACCAUGUUAGUAUUUUGGUCCACAGGCAUGGCUAUGCUAUUAAAGUGGAAAGGACCAACAACAUUGGACUGAUCUGAAAGAGUGCGUCUUGGAGGAGGUUGCUCCGCCAUCUCCUCUACUCUUCGAAUUGGUGAAGGUGAAAGUUAUCUGUUAGGAGAAGGAAAUAAAUCCCUAGAAGAACAUCUAACAAUCCUUCUUCCCCUUGUCUCACUCAAGCCUUCAAGAAGGGGUUGUGUACUUUUCUUGAUCCUAGUGUGUCUAGUCUCCUGCUGCAUGCACAAGAAACACAAACCCUAGUAGCACUUUUUUUCUUUAAAAAAAACAAUAUUUAUAAUCAAGUCAAAAUUAAUCAAUUUACACUACUCAAAAAGUUAAACCACGAUUCCCCAGCAACGGCGCCAAAAACUUGUUAAUCCCUUGGCAAGUGUACCAGAUCGUUAUAAAGUAAUAUAAUUGGUAAAUCUAAUAUCGUUCUUCCCAAAAGGACUCAAAGGCCUAAUCUUUCGUGUAACUCAAUUGCUUAAGACUUGAGAAAAGAAUUAAAUUUAAGUGUUGAAUGCAAAGAACAAAAACUANUCUGCUCUUUUCUUGAGUCAACGACCUGUAUCUUAAACUCCAUUCUUUACUUUUCUCAAA